UAUGGGAGGCACCAGUGGGGAAUUUUUGACAAUGGGGGCAACCCUGAUCCAGCCAUUCCGCGUGAGUGAAGAAGGCCUUCGGGUUGUAAAGCUCUUUUGGCAGGAAAGAAACGUUGUNGGCCAAUACCCUGCAUCAAUGACGGUACCCGAAGAAGAAGCACCGGCUAACUACGUGCCAGCAGCCGCGGUAAUACGUAGGGUGCGAGCGUUAUUCUGAAUUACUGGGCGUAAAGCGUGCGCAGGCGGUUUUGUAAGACAGAUGUGAAAUCCCCGGGCUUAACCUGGGAAAUGCGCUUGUGACUGCACGACUAGAGUGUGGCAGAGGGGGGUGGAAUUCCCCGUGUAGCAGUGAAAUGCGUAGAGAUGUGGAGGAACACCGCUGGCGAAGGCAGCCCCCUGGGUUAACACUGACGCUCAUGCACGAAAGCGUGGGUAGCAAACACGAUUAGAUACCCUGGUAGUCCACGCCCUAAACGAUGCCAACUAGGUGUUGGGGAAGGAGACUUCCUCAGUACCGCAGCUAACGCGUGAAGUUGUCCGCCUGG
RNAcentral lists this ribosomal RNA (545 nucleotides) under uncultured beta proteobacterium. RNAcentral describes it as "bacterial SSU rRNA". It matches the Rfam family "Bacterial small subunit ribosomal RNA", at positions 340 to 876 of the family's 1533-position model. Lineage: Bacteria; Pseudomonadati; Pseudomonadota; Betaproteobacteria. The record is from RNAcentral.